AUUCUGAUCUGCCCUGGCAGAGGGAAAUUCUUCAGUUCAAGUUUCCUAUAUCAAUAUAUUCUGAGGAGUCUAGUCCAAUGAAAGAAGAUAAUGAGGACCAAAAUCAUUAACAAUAAAAAGAAAGAUAAAACUAAAACAAACAAAGUUAUAUGUGACUCUUCAUGACCCCAUCUGUGGGUUUUCGUGCAAAAAUACUGGGGUGUUUUGAUGAUUCCGUCUCCAGUUAAUGAAGAAACUGAGGCAAACAGGGUUAAGGACUUUACCCAAGGCACGCAGUUAGCCUGCACUUUGACAAGAUACUAGAUGUUCUUUCUUAAUUAGAAGGUGUCUUAUGCAAUACAUACUUCAAGCCACCAACCUGGAUGCUGGGAGAGAUGUCCUGGGACUUGCCAUUGGCAGACCAUGUUCAUUAGUAUUCAGCUUCAUAGUGGAAACUUGGAGAAGGCUGUGUCUCUCGAAAGGAAAGAACACCUGUUAAGCAGAGAGAAAUUUAAACAAACAAAGAACCUUGAUUAAUUAAGUUGCCUGCUGUUUGGAGUCUCCAGUAUCCUGCUGUUCUCAGGGAAAGAAUGUUAAGAUC
This 580-nucleotide long non-coding RNA is filed under the name Monodelphis domestica (gray short-tailed opossum). RNAcentral describes it as "lncRNA (ENSMODG00000047762.1)". The record is from RNAcentral. Lineage: Eukaryota; Metazoa; Chordata; Mammalia; Didelphimorphia; Didelphidae.